CCUUUAGUUCCUCCAAAGCAAAUCCACCACUCGUAGAACCAUCUGGGUAUGGUGGCUUCUACCAUGGCAGGGCAAUAUUUCACAAACCAAGUAUGUCCUGGUCGAACAAAUAGAAAGUUGAACCACGCUGACUUGUAGUCAUACCAAUUAAAGGUUUGAGGCCUGUGUGGCAUCGACAAGGCUACUGGGGUAUGUAGAUGAUCUACAAACCAAUUAAAGGGGGUUAAUACCCUCUUGAUGGUAAAUUUUGAGUAGCUGAUGUAGUCUGGAUUACGAUUGUCCAUGGAAUGUUCUACUUCGAUAGAGUCUGUAUCGACCAGAAUAGCUUCAUAGAAUCUGCGAGUCUUGAGUGGAUCUUCAGUGUCUACAAAAUUGUUGUUGUUAUAUACCGGCUUGAUUAGCUGAUUUAUUGGGUAGCCUUCGUAGGCUUUGUCUAGAGCGAUGAUGGGC
RNAcentral lists this long non-coding RNA (450 nucleotides) under Capsicum annuum. Its description in RNAcentral is "long non-coding RNA (CANN_LNC018529)". Lineage: Eukaryota; Viridiplantae; Streptophyta; Magnoliopsida; Solanales; Solanaceae. The record is from RNAcentral.